GUACCACGGGACACGUGAAACCCUGUGGGAAGCAGGAGGGACCACCCUCCAAGGCUAAAUACUACCUAGUGACCGAUAGCGUAUAGUACCGUGAGGGAAAGGUGAAAAGAACCCCGGGAGGGGAGUGAAAUAGAACCUGAAACCCUGCACUUACAAGCUGUGGAAGCACAUUUCUUGUGUGACCACGUACUUUUUGUAGAACGGGCCUAACGAGUUACGUUAAGUAGCAAGGUUAAGCACUUAAGGUGCGGAGCCGUAGCGAAAGCGAGUUUUUAACUGAGCGUUCAGUUACUUGACGUAGACCCGAAACCGGGCGACCUACCCAUGUCCUAGGGGGUAUUGCACCUACCGAAGACUAUCAAACUCCGAAUGCCGUCAUCUUAUACUUGGGAGUCAGACUGUGGGUGAUAAGAUUCAUAGUCGAAAGGGCAACAGCCCAGAUCGUCAGCUAAGGUCCCUAAAUGUAAGUUAAGUGGUAAAGGAUGUGGGAUUGCACAGACAACCAGGAUGUUGGCUUAGAAGCAGCCACUCAUUCAAAGAGUGCGUAAUAGCUCACUGGUCGAGUGAUCCUGCGCCGAAGAUUUCCGGGGCUAAAACUUACUACCGAAGCUACGGCAUCAGUAAUGAUGGGUAGGGGAGCUUCCCAUACGGGUUGAAGCAUGACCGUAAGGACAUGUGGACAGUAUGGGAGUGAGAAUGUUGGCAUGAGUAGCGAGAUGUGGGUGAGAAUCCCACAGGCCGUAAACCCAAGGUUUCCAGGGAAGGUUCGUCCGCCCUGGGUUAGUCGGGACCUAAGCUGAGGCCGAAAGGCGUAGGUGAUGGACAACAGGUUGAUAUUCCUGUACUACCGAUAACCGUUUGAGAGAAGGGAUGACACAGUAGGAUAAGCUAAGCACACUGUUGGUUAUGUGUGCCCAAGCAUUGAGGCAGUCAAAGUAGGCAAAUCCGCUUUGAUAAUGCUGGGAUGUGAUGGGGAGCGAAAUUUAGUAGCGAAGUAGCUGAUUUCACACUGUCAAGAAAAGUCUCUAUCGAGGUUAAAGGUACCCGUACCGCAAACCGACACAGGUGGGUGAGGAGAGUAUCCUAAGGCCAGAGAGAACUGUUGUUAAGGAACUCGGCAAAAUGACCCCGUAACUUAGGGAUAAGGGGUGCCACCAUCAGGUGGCCGCAGAGAAUAGGCCCAAGCGACUGUUUACCAAAAACAUAGGUUUCUGCUAAGUCGCAAGACGAUGUAUAGGAGCUGACGCCUGCCCGGUGCUGGAAGGUUAAGGGGAUCUGUUAGAGCAAUCGAAGCAGUGAACUUAAGCCCCAGUAAACGGCGGCCGUAACUAUAACGGUCCUAAGGUAGCGAAAUUCCUUGUCGGGUAAGUUCCGACCCGCACGAAAGGCGUAACGAUUUGGGCACUGUCUCAACAACAGACUCGGUGAAAUUGUAAUUCCGGUGAAGAUGCCGGAUACCUGCGACAGGACGGAAAGACCCCAUGGAGCUUUACUGUAGCUUGACAUUGGGUCUUGGUACUACAUGUACAGGAUAGGUGGGAGGCUUUGAAACCAGGACGCCAGUUUUGGCGGAGCCAUCCUUGGGAUACCACCCUUGUAGUACUGGGACUCUAACCAUAGGCCAUGAAUCUGGUCUUGGGACACUGUCAGGUGGGCAGUUUGACUGGGGCGGUCGCCUCCCAAAAGGUAACGGAGGCGCUCAAAGGUUCUCUCAGUACGGUCGGAAAUCGUACGUAGAGUGUAAAGGCAAAAGAGAGCUUGAUUGCAAGACAUACAGGUCGAGCAAGGAUGAAAAUCGGACUUAGUGAUCCGGUGGUUCUGCGUGGAAGGGCCAUCGCUGUACGAGAGGACCGGGAUGGACGUACCUCUGGUGUACCAGUUGUCCUGCCAAGGGCAUGGCUGGGUAGCUAUGUACGGAAUGGAUAAGCGCUGAAAGCAUCUAAGCGCGAAGCCAACUUCAAGAUAAGAUUUCCCACCGCAAGGGUAAGACCCCAGAAAGACUAUCUGGUUGAUAGGUCGAAGGUGUAAGUGCAGCAAUGUAUUUAGCUUAUCGAUACUAAUAGGUCGAGGACUUGACCAAUAUUUAUUUGAUGUUCAUUCAUUAGGAUAUAUAUGUAGUUUUUAGAGUGCUAACUCUAAAAAAUUAGUUUUACUAAUUUAUAAAAAUUUAAUGCGGGUGUAGCUCAAUGGUAGAGUUCUGGCCUUCCAAGCCAGCUGUGAGGGUUCGAUCCCCUUCACCCGCUCCAAAAGAUUAUGUGGUUACAAUAGCAG
This 2271-nucleotide small RNA is filed under the name Clostridioides difficile DA00165. RNAcentral's name for it is "bacterial LSU rRNA". It matches the Rfam family "Bacterial large subunit ribosomal RNA", at positions 412 to 2925 of the family's 2925-position model. The record is from RNAcentral. Lineage: Bacteria; Bacillati; Bacillota; Clostridia; Peptostreptococcales; Peptostreptococcaceae.